RNAcentral lists this ribosomal RNA (388 nucleotides) under Brevundimonas sp. Its description in RNAcentral is "bacterial SSU rRNA". It matches the Rfam family "Bacterial small subunit ribosomal RNA", at positions 72 to 493 of the family's 1533-position model. The record is from RNAcentral. Lineage: Bacteria; Pseudomonadati; Pseudomonadota; Alphaproteobacteria; Caulobacterales; Caulobacteraceae.
AACCGCUUUCGAGGGAGUUAGUGGUGCUGUGACGGGUGAGUAACACGUGGGGAACGUGCCUUUAGGUUCGGAAUAGCUCCUGGAAACGGGUGGUAAUGCCGAAUGUGCCCUUCGGGGGAAAGAUUUAUCGCCUUUAGAGCGGCCCGCGUCUGAUUAGCUAGUUGGUGAGGUAACGGCUCACCAAGGCGACGAUCAGUAGCUGGUCUGAGAGGAUGACCAGCCACACUGGGACUGAGACACGGACCAGACUCCUACGGGAGGCAGCAGUGGGGAAUCUUGCGCAAUGGACGAAAGCCUGACGCAGCCAUGCCGCGUGAAUGAUGAAGGUCUUAGGAUUGUAAGAUUCUUUCCCCGGGGACGAUAAUGACGGUACCCGGAGAAGAAGCCC